This 638-nucleotide long non-coding RNA is filed under the name Canis lupus familiaris (dog). RNAcentral describes it as "lncRNA (ENSCAFG00000052722.1)". The record is from RNAcentral. Lineage: Eukaryota; Metazoa; Chordata; Mammalia; Carnivora; Canidae.
GCCUGGAGUGGGCGGGGCCUGGGGGCCGGGCCGGGGCGCCCGAUGGGGGCGUGCACUCUCCGCGGGGACACGCGCUCUGGGCCGCGGCAACUCGCUCCAAGUUCCCUCCCUCGCGCUCCGCGAAGCCCGCCCGAGCCCGCCCGAGCCCUCCCCUCCCCUCCUCUCCCCUCGGCGCGGACCUAGCCCUCCGCGGCCUCGCGCCCCGCGCCCCCGGCCCGCCGGCUCGGCUCCCCCCGGCCCCGCGGGGCGGCGCGAGGACUCGGCGGCGGCCCCCUCCCCGCGGGCCCGGGAGCCGACGCCGGCUGGGGCCGCACCUCCGGGACCGGGCAGCGCGGCCGAGCUCUGCCUGCAGCCGAACACAAAGACCUGGAGGAGACUCCCACAUCCUUCGGGGAGAAGAAAGGAGGCAGCGGCGCCGGUUCAGGGAGCUCGUGGCUCGUGGCCUUCGGGAGGGGGGGAGUGGAUCGCGGCGUUGGCGGCGGCGUUGGCGGCGGCGGGCGAGCCGUGAGAUGCGGCGGCGCCGCGGCGGCGCCUGCUGACACCCCGGUCCCCGGCGCCGGCCGCUGCCCUUUGUGCUUCGCGUACAUGUGUCAGCUCGGCGCAUCCGGAGGCGCGCGCACCGGAAUCCAACACGGCCG